GAGAGCAAGUAGAAGUUCCCGCUUCUCGCCUAAGUCAAAGACCUCUAGGCUAAUCGAUAAUAAUCUGUUGAUUAAAAAGUGGGUGCUUAUGCACCCACUUUUUACUUGUCCU
This is a regulatory RNA element of 112 nucleotides. It matches the Rfam family "Ribosomal protein L20 leader". Rfam says of the family: This family is a putative r-protein leader autoregulatory structure found in B. subtilis and other low-GC Gram-positive bacteria. It is located in the 5' untranslated regions of mRNAs encoding initiation factor 3 followed by ribosomal proteins L35 and L20 (infC-rpmI-rplT). The record is from Rfam.